Molecule: RNA transcript, 2047 nt
Organism: Cryptomeria japonica (Japanese cedar)
Lineage: Eukaryota; Viridiplantae; Streptophyta; Pinopsida; Cupressales; Cupressaceae
Gene name: cytochrome P450 71AU50-like
Exons: 2
Source: RefSeq, a predicted model, not a curated record
AACAAACGAAUUAACACCUGUGACAUUAUGUCCUGUUAUUUUACAGAAAUUCCCUACACCGGCUCAAGUAACCUCCGUCAAGAACGGUGCUUGUACAUUCCAAGUUUUGUGGAAUGAAUCUUUCCCACUCCAAUUUUAUCUGUUGAAAUAUGCAAUCUUAAGAAGUAGGGAAUUGAAAAUCGAAACUUAAGCCUCCUCAUGAAACCGCACCCGAAACCUGUGCUUGUAUAUUAUAAGGGUUUGUCUGUGGAUUUCCAUUGAUUGCAAGCCUGCGCAGAUUUCCUUUCUCUCAUAGCAUGGAAUCCUUGAAUGAGGCCGUGAUUAUUGGACUUGGGAUUAUCUUCUUCUUCUAUUGCUUCCUCUAUAAGCUGAGGGUUGGGAGGAAAUUGAAAUUGCCCCCAGGACCACGUCCAUGGCCUCUCAUAGGAAGCCUCCAUCUCUUGGGAAACCUUCCUCAUCAGUCUCUUACGGCGCUGGCAAAGAAAUACGGAUCCAUUAUGUUUCUCCGUUUGGGCUCCGUUCCCACUGUUGUGGUCUCUUCUCCUGCCAUGGCUAAAGAAUUCCUCAAAACGCAUGAUUUGGCCUUUGCAACUAGACCAAAUUGUACACUGGGGAAAUACAUAUGCUAUGAUCAUAAUAACGUUUCGUUUGCCCCCUAUGGAGCGUCCUGGAGGCAGGUGAGAAAGCUGUGCACGGUGGAGCUGCUCACAGUGAAGAGAAUCGAUUCUUUCAGAUUCGUAAGAGAGGAGGAAGUGUCUGUCAUGAUCUCCUCCAUCUGGCACGAAAGCGGGCGCGGAGCGCAGUGUGUGGAUUUGAAGAAGAGUCUCUCCUCCGUUACUCGAAAUAUUACCUGCAGAAUGUUUGCCAGCAGGACGUACUCCGACAACGAAUUGAGUGGAGGGCAUGGCUUCAAACAAAUGGUUGAGGAAAUUUUCGCUGUGGCCGGUACAUUUUGCGUUGGUGAUUUCGUUCCUUUUCUCGAUUGGCUCGACUUGCAAGGAAUUCGUCGUCGUAUGCAGGCUGUUCACAAAAUAUAUGAUGGAUUUCCUGAGAAAGUAAUCGACGAGCACGUUCAUCGUAGAUUGGGAAAAGGAGAUCCCAAGGAAGAAGAUCAUGUUAAAGACAUGGUAAACGUGAUGCUGGACAUGAUCGAGACGGAGGGCCAAACAAUCUCACGGGUCCACAUCAAAGGAAUCAUCUUGGACAUGUUAAGUGCGGGAAUCGAAACAUCGUCGACAACAGUAGAGUGGGCUAUGAGUGAGCUGCUGAGGAAUCCUGCAACCUUGGCUCGAGCACAGAAAGAGAUCGAAUCAGCAGUGGGCAGAGACCGCAGAAUAAAGGAGACUGAUGUCAUGAGCUUCGACUAUUUGCGAUGCGUGGUGAAGGAAACUUUUCGACUUCAUCCGCCAUUUCCUCUGCUCAUUCCACACGAGUCGGUAGAAGGGUGCAGUGUCGAAGGAUAUUUUGUUCCGCCAAAGACGAGGCUGUAUGUGAAUGUGUAGGCGAUUGGAAGGGAUGAAAACGUUUGGGAAGAUGCUCAUCAGUUUAAGCCCGAGCGUUUCAUGGGUAGUAACAAGGAUGUGAAAGGUCAGGACUUUGAUUUGCUGCCGUUCGGAACAGGAAGAAGAGGAUGCCCUGGGAUUUCAAUGGGUGUUUCUGUUGUUGAGUUGGCACUUGCUCAGCUUCUUCAUUGCUUUGACUGGAUUGUGGAGGGUGAGGUGGAUAUGGCGGAAGAUUUUGGAUUAACUGUUCCCAGAAAAACUCCACUGCUUGUCCGCCCUUCAUGGAGGCUCACGGCUGAAUAUCCUAUUUAAGAGAGUGCUGUCUGAUUCAUGUAGUACUUCUGUAAAGCGUUUUUAAGUAUUUCCCAUUGUCUUAGCUAAUAAGUUCAUAUGCAUCACCUAGUCGACAGCUCCCUCGAUCUUCGAAUUCAUUUAUCAUAUCUAAUUCAGAACAAACCCCAGUAAAAUAUGUAUGGAAAGCCUAUCCACAAGGUUUAUCAAAAGGAAAGUGGUUGGACUUGCACACUACACAUUAAGCAUGGAAA